AGGAUCAUUAUUGAUUGUAAACUGUUGCCCUCUGUGCUGGCUCCUGCAAGUGCACGUUGGCGACUUUCAUUCCAAUACCCUUGUGAACCUUUGGCCUCUUGCUAGCUUCCGCUGGCAGAGGAUUCUACAUACAAACUCGAAUGUAAUGAAACCCUUGUUGUGCACAAGCACUACUAUAUACAACUUUCAACAACGGAUCUCUUGGCUCUCGCAUCGAUGAAGAACGCAGCGAAAUGCGAUAAGUAAUGUGAAUUGCAGAAUUCAGUGAAUCAUCGAAUCUUUGAACGCACCUUGCACCCUUUGGCAUUCUGAAGGGUAUGCUCGUUUGAGUGUCAUUGUACUCUCACACUUCCGAUCUUGCAUUGGGAGCGGUGGACUUGGGUUUGCUGCUUUACCGUAGCUUACCUCAAAUGUGUUAGUGCAGCUCUUGGUUGGACAUAAUACGGCGUGAUAAGUAUCUUCGCCGGUGCCUCGCAAAGAGGGUGGCCGAUCAGGAUGGUGUGCUCCAAACCGUCUUCGGACAAUCUCUGACAACUUGACCUCAAAUCGAGUAAGACUACCCGCUGAACUUAAGCAUAUCAAUAAGCGGAGGAAAAGAAACUAACAAGGAUUCCCCUAGUAACGGCGAGUGAAGAGGGAAGAGCUCAAAUUUUGAAUCUGGCGUCUUUGGCGUCCGAGUUGUAAUCUAGAGAAGUGUUUUCCGUGACGGACCGUGCAUAAGUCUCCUGGAAUGGAGUGUCAUAGAGGGUGAGAAUCCCGUACAUGGCAUGGACUCCCGUUACUCUGCGAUACACUCUCGACGAGUCGAGUUGUUUGGGAAUGCAGCUCCAAAUGGGUGGUAAAUGCCAUCUAAAGCUAAAUAUGGGCGAGAGACCGAUAGCGAACAAGUACCGUGAGGGAAAGAUGAAAAGCACUUUGGAAAGAGAGUGAAACAGUACGUGAAAUUGUUGAAAGGGAAACGCUUGAAGUCAGUCACACUCUUUGGGAUUCAGCCUUGCUUGCUUCUGCUGCUCGGUUUACUUCCCAUCGGGUGGGUCAACAUCAGUUUCGGUCGGAGGAGAAAGGCUUGGGGAAGGUAGCAGCAUUCGUGCUGUGUUAUAGACCCUUGUUGUAUACUUCGACUGGGACUGAGGACCGCAGCACGCCUUUGGCCGGGGUUUACCC
RNAcentral lists this ribosomal RNA (1164 nucleotides) under uncultured Sebacinales. Its description in RNAcentral is "eukaryotic LSU rRNA". The stretch from base 537 to 1164 matches the Rfam family "Eukaryotic large subunit ribosomal RNA", at positions 1 to 629 of the family's 3401-position model. The record is from RNAcentral. Lineage: Eukaryota; Fungi; Basidiomycota; Agaricomycetes; Sebacinales.